UUCUUACUUUGGCAGUAGUACACUAAAAUUGCAAGGAUACAGAGAGGAUUAGCAUGCCCCCUGCCCAAGGUUGCCACACAAAUUUAUGAAGCUUCCAUAUUUUUC
RNAcentral lists this small nuclear RNA (105 nucleotides) under Moschus moschiferus (Siberian musk deer). The record is from RNAcentral. Lineage: Eukaryota; Metazoa; Chordata; Mammalia; Artiodactyla; Moschidae.